This 513-nucleotide ribosomal RNA is filed under the name uncultured bacterium. RNAcentral describes it as "partial 16S ribosomal RNA". It matches the Rfam family "Bacterial small subunit ribosomal RNA", at positions 28 to 523 of the family's 1533-position model. The record is from RNAcentral.
GACGAACGCUGGCGGCGUGCCUAAUACAUGCAAGUAGAACGCUGAAGAGAGGAGCUUGCUCUUCUUGGAAGAGUUGCGAACGGGUGAGUAACGCGUAGGUAACCUGCCUUGUAGCGGGGGAUAACUAUUGGAAACGAUAGCUAAUACCGCAUAACAAUGGAUGACACAUGUCAUUUAUUUGAAAGGGGCAACUGCUCCACUACAAGAUGGACCUGCGUUGUAUUAGCUAGUAGGUGAGGUAACGGCUCACCUAGGCGACGAUACAUAGCCGGCCUGAGAGGGUGAUCGGCCACACUGGGACUGAGACACGGCCCAGACUCCUACGGGAGGCAGCAGGAGGGAAUCUUCGGCAAUGGGGGCAACCCUGACCGAGCAACGCCGCGUGAGUGAAGAAGGUUUUCGGAUCGUAAAGCUCUGUUGUAAGUCAAGAACGAGUGUGAGAGUGGAAAGUUCACACUGUGACGGUAGCUUACCAGAAAGGGACGGCUAACUACGUGCCAGCCGCCGCCGUAA